RNAcentral lists this transfer RNA (88 nucleotides) under Thiohalobacter thiocyanaticus. Its description in RNAcentral is "gamma proteobacterium HRh1 tRNA". It matches the Rfam family "tRNA". Rfam says of the family: Transfer RNA (tRNA) molecules are approximately 80 nucleotides in length. Their secondary structure includes four short double-helical elements and three loops (D, anti-codon, and T loops). Lineage: Bacteria; Pseudomonadati; Pseudomonadota; Gammaproteobacteria; Thiohalobacterales; Thiohalobacteraceae. The record is from Rfam by way of RNAcentral.
GGAGAGAUGCCGGAGCGGUUGAACGGGGCGGACUCGAAAUCCGUUGAUGGAUUCUGUCCAUCCGAGGGUUCGAAUCCCUCUCUCUCCG